This 406-nucleotide ribosomal RNA is filed under the name uncultured bacterium. Its description in RNAcentral is "partial 16S ribosomal RNA". It matches the Rfam family "Bacterial small subunit ribosomal RNA", at positions 30 to 526 of the family's 1533-position model. The record is from RNAcentral.
AUUGAACGCUGGCGGCAGGCCUAACACAUGCAAGUCGAACGAGUGGCGGACGGGUGAGUAAUGUCUGGGAAACUGCCUGAUGGAGGGGGAUAACUACUGGAAACGGUAGCUACUACCGCAUACCAUCGGAUGUGCCCAGAUGGGAUUAGCUAGUAGGUGGGGGAAAGGCUCACCUGGGCGACGAUCCCUAGCUGGUCUGAGAGGAUGACCCGCCACACUGGAACUGAGACCCGGUCCAGACUCCUACGGGAGGCAGCAGUGGGGAAUAUUGCACAAUGGGCGAAAGCCUGAUGCAGCCAUGCCGCGUGUAUUAAGAAGGCCUUCGGGUUUUAAAGUACUUUCAGCGGGGAGGCGUUACCCGCAGAAGAAGCACCGGCUAACUCCGUGCCAGCAGCCGCGGUAAUAC